GCCAUUGGCCAUCAGCAGCAUCAAAGCCAAGGCCAUCUUCCCCCACAGGUGUUCAAUCCCAGGCAGCAGCCCUCAGAGGUACCUGAAAAUCAGUGGGAUGGAGUUCAGAGUUUUCCAGGGAUCCAGCUGGAAGUGCAGAAGUGAUGGAAAGCUUUCCCAGGUGCCCUGGUGCCACCGUGUUGGUCCCUUGGCCUUUCUCCAGCCCGAGGCUGCUCCUCUGCUCGCUCUCUGCAGUCUCAUCCCACAGGGAUCCUCUUCUCCCUUCCCUGCUGGCUGCUGCCAAGGAAGGAGGCCACAGGGAGUCUCCAGUGCUGCCCCCUCAGCCCUGGAGAGUCCUGGCUGUGGGCCCGAGGGGCCUGGGAUUUCCCAGGGAAAUUGUCUGCUGGUCUCCCUUCCAUGACCUCAGCAAUUCCCUCCAAAAUGCCACCUCACUGCCCCUGACAUCCCCUCACAUUCCACUGCCCUACACAAACAGUUCUUGGAUCCCCUCUAGAUCACACCAGGUUUUCAGCCACAUGAAUGGCAUCACCUGUGCCCACUGCUCGUUAUUCACCCAACCAAAAUCAAGAGCAAAUGUUGGUUGGGCUUUAAUAACAACUUGAAAUAACUUUACAGCAAAAUAAAUCACCUUUUUCUUCU
Non-coding RNA from Agelaius phoeniceus (red-winged blackbird), 639 nucleotides. Lineage: Eukaryota; Metazoa; Chordata; Aves; Passeriformes; Icteridae. The record is from RefSeq and is a predicted model, not a curated record.